AUUGAACGCUAGCGGGAUGCCUUACACAUGCAAGUCGAACGGAGUGGCGAACGGGUGAGUAAUGGAAAGGAACGUGCCCAGUAGCGGGGGAUAAGUACGCGAAAGCGUAGCUAAUACCGCAUCCUCUUGCCGUGGCAGAUACCGGAUUAGCUAGUGGGUGGGGUAACGGCUAACCAAGCCGACGAUCCGUAGCUGGUUUGAGAGGACGACCAGCCACACUGGGACUGAGACACGGCCCAGACUCCUACGGGAGGCAGCAGUGGGGAAUUUUGGACAAUGGGGGAAACCCUGAUCCAGCCAUCCCGCGUGUGCGAUGAAGGCCUUCGGGUUGUAAAGCACUUUUGGCAGGAAAGCGGUACCUGCAUAAUAAGCACCGGCUAACUACGUGCCAGCAGCCGCGGUAAUAC
RNAcentral lists this ribosomal RNA (407 nucleotides) under uncultured bacterium. RNAcentral's name for it is "partial 16S ribosomal RNA". It matches the Rfam family "Bacterial small subunit ribosomal RNA", at positions 30 to 526 of the family's 1533-position model. The record is from RNAcentral.